AGCUGUGGGAUUGUCCUUUGGACAAUGGUAGGAGAGCGUUCUAAGGGCGUUGAAGCAUGAUCGCAAGGACAUGUGGAGCGCUUAGAAGUGAGAAUGCCGGUGUGAGUAGCGAAAGACGGGUGAGAAUCCCGUCCACCGAUUGACUAAGGUUUCCAGAGGAAGGCUCGUCCGCUCUGGGUUAGUCGGGUCCUAAGCUGAGGCCGAUAGGCGUAGGCGAUGGAUAACAGGUUGAUAUUCCUGUACCACCAAAAUUCGUUUUGAGCGAUGGGGGGACGCAGUAGGAUAGGCGAAGCGUGCUGUUGGAGUGCACGUCCAAGCAAUAAGACUGAGUAUUAGGCAAAUCCGGUACUCUUAAGGUCAAGUUGUGAUGGGGAGAGGAAAUUUUUUCCUCGAGUCGUUGAUUUCACACUGCCAAGAAAAGCCUCUAGCUAGAAUUUUGGUGCCCGUACCGCAAACCGACACAGGUAGUCAAGAUGAGAAUUCUAAGGUGAGCGAGCGA
RNAcentral lists this ribosomal RNA (499 nucleotides) under uncultured Staphylococcus sp. RNAcentral describes it as "bacterial LSU rRNA". It matches the Rfam family "Bacterial large subunit ribosomal RNA", at positions 1198 to 1697 of the family's 2925-position model. Lineage: Bacteria; Bacillati; Bacillota; Bacilli; Caryophanales; Staphylococcaceae. The record is from RNAcentral.